AAAAAAAAAUACCAAAGAUUCGUGAAUUAUUACUAGAUCUCAAAAAUAAGAUGCGUUUCCUUUAUCCUACGAAAAAAAAUUCUUUUUUCUUUAAUUAUACCCAUAGCAAGUUUCAUUACAAUAAAAGGGGAGGGGAGGGGAAAGAUGGAGAAACCCCGUCGUCCCAUCGUGAAAAAUUUCCAUAAAACAUUACGCGACAAUUUUAAUUACAAUUAACGCGACAGAUUUACACAAUACGUAACAAACGCGAUCGAAACGUGGGUGAAACGUUGCAUUUUUAAUCCAUCCGCUAGCGGAAUUUUUAAAUACUUCACUCCCCUUCCUUCCUUCCUUCCUUUUUUUUUUUUUUCCUUUCAAUAAUACCUUCCACGCGGUUAACGGUCGCCCCAAUGUAAAUACUUGGAAUUUUUCCCCGUGAAAAAUUUAAUCGCGCGCUCCCCGUGUGUUAUUUAUAGGGAAAAAAUUUUCACAGACUCGUCGCGAGUCUUUAUCACGCGCAGGACAUUGACUUGACAAACCUUCCGCCGUUAUCUUGGCCCCGCGAUUACGCGGAUUCGCCGGAUCUCUCGUUCCUUCUCUCUCUCUCUCUCUCUCUCGUUCUUUUAGCUCGUGCACGGUGCAACAGCCUAAUGCUAAUUAUCAGCCAUGCCUCGUUGGACAUAACAAUGACUAAGUACGUAUAUUUAUACGGUGUAUUAUCGCGAGACGUGACGCGCCGCGCGGGCUGUCUCGUCGGUCGAAAUCGUGCGGUAUCGUGGGAGAAAAUCAUCACGGGGGGGGAUCACGAGAGAGAGUGAUCGCGGGAAAGAAAGAGAACAAUCGUAAUCGCGUGGAAAUUUAUUAUUUUGGAGCAGAUUUGCAAAUUUUUUUUGACGAAUCUCGAUGAAUUUUUUUUUUAUUAAGCAUAAGUAUAAAAAAUUUUUUCUUUUUUUGAAUUUGAAAUUGAAAUUCCUCUUAUAUAGUUUAUAGAAUUUAUUGUUUUCAAAUAAGAGAAUAAUGUUUACCGUAGGCGUAUAACGACACGUGCAUAAACAUUAUCAACAUCUCUCGUUCUUUGUCGCCCUGUUGUUGGAUGCCAGAUAGAGAGCAUAGUUGAUUGUUCUCGCGCUAUACUACACUACGGAGAUAAGUAACAAUGGCUUUAUGAGCCUUAUGCUAUGUUUCUUUCCUUUUUCUUCUUCUUAACAUUACAAUUAAAAAUACUUUGUAGAGAAAUAUUUUUAAUCGAAGAUGUCGAAUGCGAAAUACUUUUUAAUUACUUUUUAUUUCGAUUUAUUCUCGUUUUUCUAAAAGCCUAUCCGUAUAACACGUUGCUUUAUUAAUUCGUUUCGAUCGAUCAUUGAAACUCGACGAAGGAAUAACCAUGCACGACAAAAUUCUCAGGAUUCCAGCGUUAUAAAUUUAUUUAGGAUCGUGCAUCGACUUUCUUUUUUUCCAAGUUUUCCCAAGUGUUUCAGCUCCUUAUCUGAUCAUAAAUCUGUCGAAACACUAGUUCUGGAAUCCGAUACAACAUUACAUUUCACUGAUUUUACGAUCUCUACUAUAUUAUAUCCGUAGACCCGUACUUUACUUCCAGGAACCCGUAUAUAUUUCGACAACGCAACGCAAUACAAUAGCGUUCGGUGUCACUGAAAUAUAUAUAUAUAUAUAUAUUAUGUAUAGGAAUGAAGAAACGUUUCCUGCAAACGUUUAAAAAUUUUAUCACCGCAUCAAAAAUUCGCCUCAUCUUUUAUAAUUCUUCUAUUUCGAGUUUAAACUGCUACAAUACCAUUUUUAUCUUAACGCGAUAUAUGCAUAAUCUACAUGUCAAUUAUUUCCUAACUCGAUCGACUCGAAAUAACGAUCCAACAACGAUCGAUUUUGCUUGGAAGAAAAAAAGAAAGAAAGAAAGAGGGCAAAUAAAAUUCGAACCGAAGCUCUCGCAAUUUUUUUAACACCCGUGCUCGCGCAAAAGCGCGCUCGGCCGCCGCGAUACACACUUUGUCGCUACUUGGAAACUGCCUCCGGAUUGCACCUCGCCGCAAAUAUCGUAUGCAAGCCGACCGUGCGCGCGCGAGAAGGAGAGGGACGAGAGAAAGCGCGAGCGACGAUGAGGGAGACGGAGCGCGAACGUGUGAACCGCGUAGGAGAGAGAAAGAGAGAGAGAGAAAGGGAUCGAGAAGCAUAAACGAUGUGUCUCGUUGUGCGAAGUAAUUGACGAGUUCGCGUGUAGGCGGUUGGGCGCCUAGAUCGCCUCGAGCGUACCGUAGGCUUAUCCUCAGAGACGAAAAACGAAACGAAACGAAACGAAACGAAACGAGACGAAACGAGCAGCCCUGAUACCAGCAGGCCGGGAAGGAGUCGAGGAGGAGGAGGUGGAUUCGACACACGUACACGUACACUCGUGUGUUUUAUACACAGCACGCUCGUGUACACGCGAGAGGAGAGGAAACGAGACGGGACGGAGAGAGCGAAAGAGGGGGGGAGCCAGAAAUUGACAGAAGAGUCGGUUAGUCAGCAAGAGGGACGGAGAGAGAGGAUUGUGAGAGGCGAAUAUGCGCACGAUAGGAGAAUUAGUGAGUGAACGAACGGGAGAAAAAGAAAAAGGAGGCAAGAAGGAGAGAGAGAGGAGCAGUGCUGCAUCACCCUGAACUUGCCCGAAUACCUUCCCUCCGAACCUUGCGACGAUGUGUAUCCGCUCACCAAUGCACAUGGCACCCAAGCGAGUUCUCUCUCCUCUCUCUCUCUCUCUUUUUCUCUCCUCCUCUUCACGCCUGUCUUUUAUCCCUGUUCACCUCUCUCUCUCUCUCUCCCGCUCGAAUCUCGCUCUCGCCCUUUCAGCCCGCUUCCUUUUCUCUUCUUACUUCGCCUCCUCUUCGAAGUUAACCCACCCAUUUCUUACGCUCUGCACCGGUAUACCGGGUGUCGGGGUAAUAUUCGAGGAUAUAGAUAGCUCCGGCCGGGCGACGGGACGAGCGGAACUUCCGGUGGAAUAUUAUAGGAGAAGGCGCGGAGUUAUUGACGGUUCCCUUUUAUCGGGACGGUGGCCGCAGAAGGAAUUCCUCGAGAUAUUCUCGUUGCCAGAAAUAUUCUCCGUUUGAGAUAGAUAAAUCCUUUUCUCCUUUUUAUUACGAUACUGGAAGAAUUCUUCGAUUUUUUUAUAUUCCAAUUUAAAAUUAUCACGUUCGUUCCAACUUAUUCACCGAUAAGAAAACAGAAACAUCGUUGUACACCUGAAGUAGCAAAAAACGACUUGUACUUGUGGUGGAGAAACUACAAGCCGCCCGAAUACUGGGAAUAAAACAAACAAAUAAUGGAAAACGAAACCCGUGCACGUACCUAUCCCCACACACACAAACACAAAUACGCACGCAGGAAAUAUACGCUAUUUCAAACAAGUCAAACAGUAAGAACCCCGUGGAUCGAGGCCCGCAUCCAUCCUUCUCGAAGAUCGAGACGAGAUUUCCUUUUGUGACUGGCUGAACACCCGGUACGUGGAUACAGGCACACCGACUACAGUCAGCAUUAUACACCUACCCUGACUCGCCUCUACCUACCUACCUGCUCGCUAACGAGCCUACCUGCCGGACUUCUUGCAUUCGAAGAGGUUGCCUAAGAAGAAGAGGGGCCCCCAUCCCUGUUCCGGAGACCCGGCCCAUCCCCAUGGAUUCGGGAACUACACCCCGCGGUGGUGGCUGCUUGCACCUUCCUUUAUAAACGGUUAAACAAAUUUCCCUGAAAAACGUAUUUCCUAGAAAAAGGGGCGAGGAACGAGAGAGAGAGAGAGAGAAAAAGAGAAAACGUAUUUGGGGGGCGAGACAGGGCCCACAGAAAAUAUGUUUGCUCUUACCUUUUACCCGGUUUUCGUGGGAUCGCGUGUAUAUUCGUGAGAUUUCGAGGGAUUUUUUCAAAAUGUUUACAGCGGGGCAUAAAUUCAAUUUAUCGGUGUCGAGCAUUUUCUCCUCCCCCUUUUUCCCCUCGCGAAUAUCGUUUUGUUGUCGAGUGUGGCAUAAUCUCUGUUCUUUUUCUCUUUACUUUUGGAAAUAAAAGCUCGGUCGAGAAAAGUGAUUUUCUUCGAUGGAAUCUGGACGAUCGUCGCGGUUCACUUCUCCCUGGGAUCGAUAAGCUCCCUCUUUUCGACGGCGGUUGAAAGAUCCGGUCCCUGACCUGCGACACGUGCUGGCCACGUGGGGAUCCUUUGGAUUCGCGUUGUCACGCAAUGUGUCACGCAAAGAGAAAAAGAAGGGGGAGAAGAGGAAGAAAAAAACAGUAUUCGAUCAAUUACCAACAAGCAAUUCGUCAUAUCUUAGCUGGUGGCCUCGUUCAUUUCCCAUCACACCGAUCGCUCGCAAAUUGUUAUUAACACGUACAAAACUUUCUUCUUCUUUUCACCCAAUGCUUGUUUUAACUUGUUUAUAUUUCCCUAACUCUUCUAUUCUCGUUAACUUUUUUAUCCCCCUAACAAUCUUCCAUCUUCCACGGAACGUUCUCCUCGAGCUUUUCAAUUUUCACUCGCAUAAUUAUCUCGCCGACGAACGAGAACGAAUCCGCGCAUCGUUCUCACCUACAUCGAAAGAGGGAAAGAGAGAGGCGGUCGGUCAACAGACUUAUCUACGGGGCCGGAGUGCGUCGACAAACAUGUUGAACAUUCGCGUACCGCGAUAAGGGCCACGCGAUAUCGCAAUGGACAAACAUUUCCUCCGCCGUUUGAUCGUUCACGCACACUGUCCACGCGACGCGUGGAAUCCAACCAAGCGAAGAUUCGAACGCGAAGAGACGUAACUCUGAUCCGCGCGCGUAAUCGCGAUCCAAUCGACGGCGAUGAUAACGGUGAUAAGCGGUUUCUCGGUAUCGCGGCUCGAUCUUCGCCGAUCGGUAUCUUUCCUCGCCGGGGUCACGUACGGGGAUAUCUCGAGAAAGAGAGAGAGAAGGGGGAGAAAAUUUUAAAGAUUCGUGUUCUUUGGAAUUUUUUACAGUGUAAUAAUAACAACAGGUGUUAUUUAGCCGGUGGAUGUUCUGAUUUCACAUUGCAAUGAUUUUGAAAAUUGCAUCGGUGCUGAUGUAAAGGUUAGUUAAGAAUUGUGACGGAGAAUUAUUUCGAAACUAUCUGCGUGAGAAUAAGGUGUUUAAUAUUUCUUUUGAUUCGUACAAACAAUCGUUGGAGAAAAAUAUGUAUUGCGUUUGGAAAAAGGGAGUCUCUUCGAAAUAGACAAACUUUUGCGUGUAUCUCUCCAAUUUUUAAAUUUUUCGAACGUUAAAAGAGAAGAUGAUGGACGAUGAAGAAAAGCGAGUCGCGAGAAGGAGGCGAGAGAAACCGAAGAUGAUUGUUUAACAACGUUGGAAUCGCGAGUAUUAUCGCGCGGCGACGCGCAGCACGCGCGUUGUUUACACGAGAACGAUGUUCCUUGACAAGAUUAAUAAUAGUCGGAAUUGAAUAACUUAUUACGAGCGCGAGAAUACGUGGCUGCCUAGUUGCAUCACGGGUAAACAUUAACGCUAUUUAAAGGAAGAGAUUCAUUCAUUGUGUACACACCGUGGCUGCGACCGCGUUUCCUGGUUUGGCCAACCACGUGUCCAACUGCGUUACAACGAAAACGUUAAACGAUUCGACUUUGGAUAGUCGGGUCUUGUUCCAGCAUUCGUUUCGAUUUCGAUUUCGAUUUGGAAUACGUACGAAAAGCCCAAGAUUUUGAUUAUUUCUUUUCUCUUUAGAGAAAACAUCGCUUCUUCGAGGAUUCUUCUUUAUCUAACUGUAAUUAUUUGGUUUUGUAUGAUUUAACUUUUGGAUUAACUGUCAACUUUAUUCUAAGACGCAUCUUAGAAUAUGUAUAUACAAUUUUUUAUUUAAUUUUUCGCGAGUAUUAAUUCAGAUUAUCACCGCUCGUUCCUCGUCUCCUUAAGACGAAAGGAUCGUCCAAUAAAACGUAGAAUUAUUAAUAACUCCGCUUAAUCGCAAUAUCAUUAGGAUUCGCCUCGAUGCAGCGAUAAAUCGAGAUCGUUAUAACCGGGCUAUAAACGGUGCGCAGUCGUAAAAUCCGUUUGGCAAAGCGGGCGACGACACUUUUUACCGUUUUCUUGCAACAUCGCGGAUCCUCUAAUUGCCACCCCUAAUAAACGUAUUACGUGGACACGUGUUACUUUUUAUCCUUUUAUACUUUUGAGAGAGAGAGAGAGAAAAAGUACAAAGAGAAAAGAGCAAGAGAAGAGGGAGAAGAGGUAGAGGAAGAAGAAGAAGAAGAAGAAGAAAAAGAAGAAGAAAAGGGAAGAAAUCGCGCCACCGCGAAAGAAUGAAAAAGCAAAAGGCGCGUAUGAUAAUAAGGCAUGCCCACCAAAAAUACCGGUUUCCCUCUCGGGCCCUCUCUUGGUUACGAUUCAGGUUUGUCCUGCCUGUUUCCGAGACUCUGUCGAAACGAUUUUCGUCAAACAAAGUCGCUCGACCGUACACGGCUCUCCAGUCAAUUAACGCCAGAAGAUCGUCGUCCACCUCUUGUCUCGACACUGGGGAAUAAGAGGAAGGAGAGGGGGCAGCUUCUCCCGGGAAAAGAAUCGUAACGUAACGUAAUAAUUCCAAACCACCAUUGGAAUUCGAUCGAGAAAACGGUUCUCUAAGCUCGGUUGGUGCCAAAAUGGCGAACGGGGGUGGGGAACACGAGAUUGAAUAAACGGGGGUGAUGAAGGGAACGAAACGCGCUCGAAAACAAGAGGGACAGAGAGAGGGAAGGUUUGGAAGAGAAAGCUGAAAGGAAGGAAGGAAGGAAGGAAAGGGAAGAGGUGAAGAUACAUCGUCGGGUUCUGUGGAGGGGAAGGAAGGGGAGGCGGGGAGUAACGAGAAAGGAAUAAAGAAAGGAGGAUUGGGAACGAGGCGCAGAGCGAGAAGGGAGAGAGAGCGCAAACCGUCCGUUGAACGAAGGUUAGCAAUCUGCGUAGUGUUUUACGACAACUAUAAAUAUGGCUGUAAAGCUCUUUGUUUAGAGCAGCUAGUCUCCGGCUCUCGAAACUCCUCUGCCCUUCUGCUCUGGCUGCGCGGCCAUUUAGGCCGUGCCUCCGCCGUGUAACCGAUUCUUUCGCUUCGAAUUCGUACCUACUACGCGCUACCUCCGCGAGGUAUCCGACGAUUCUCCAAUUCUCCAACCAUCGUCCCCAUAAAAUAAAUAUAUAUAUAUAUAUAUAUAAAACACGCGACGAACGAGAUACGUACGUAAUUACGAACGAAAAAAAUAUUUCUAGGGGAAACUAACUUUUAUUCUGCAACGAACUUUUCAUUUCAAACGUUUUGAGGAAUGCGACGUUUCGUGGCGCGACCGUGCUUGUGACCGAUGAUGGUUUUCAGGGAGAGGAGAGGAGGGGGGAGGCCGCGUUUACACGUGAAAAUUAUCGACGACUCCGCGCGCGGCGGUCCAUUAAAAAGGAGGAAAAGAAACCGCUCCGUCCAGUGGCAUCUGCUAACCAUAUGCUAAAAUGACUGAGCCCGGAUAACACCCUGUCACGCUAAUGUCAGGUUAAGCGGCGAGAAUGAUUUACAAGCGGCGAGUCGGAGCGAACCGGCAACGUUACACACAUCGGCGCGAGCGUCUCGCCCUCUGCCCACCGUGCACACCGUGUACCCCGUGUAUAUAAUACUCGUUACAACAACGUUAUUGCACGGGCGCAAUUAACGUCCGCUAGAUACGCAGCGUCGAUAGGUUAAACGCGCGAGACACGUCGCGUGGACUCUCUCUCUCUCUCUUUCUCCCUCUCUCUUUGUCCGUCUCCCGGUUCGCACGCUCGCUCUUCCACCUCGACGCGUUAAAAUAAUUUAUGCCUUCCCUACACACGGCUUCCGGAUGUAUUCGUUACGCUCGAAACGCCAAGUCCGCUUGAUUCCUUGGGCCAUUUGUCGAUGCUUGGUUAAUUCGCCCGAUUUCCGAGAUUCGUGUUUCCACGAUAUCACGACGGUAUUUUAUGCUGUUAGGGAUAAGGGGCGUUCCAAUAAUUUUCAUCGUGGAUACGUAAGUAUCGUGCAGGGGGAGAUAUGAAUAUGCAAAUUUCCCUUUUGACCGGGGGAUGAUUAAUUUCGGAUUGCGAAGUUGUAGAACGAAUUGCGAAGUUGAAGUUUUGUUAUUGCGUAGCUUUAAAUUUUUUUCUUUUUUAUAUAUAUUUUGUAUUUAGAUUUUAGGGAUACGAAUUUUUUCUUCAAAUUUGAAAUUCUAAGAUCUGUUAUUGAUCGAUGGUUUUAGAUGAUUUUGAGAAAAUCAUUUUUUUUUUACGCGCGCGUUGAUAAGAGUAACAACAAUUCGUUUGAGAUAAGCGUGAUAUCGUGAUUCGUGGAUUAAUGUGAAACUUCUUUAUUGCCUUUCAAGUUUAACGUUACGUAGAUUUAGAUCUACGAUUGUCGUCGAGAGUUUGUUAAUAUUUUUUAUUCGCGUUAUGAGAAAUCGUUUCGUCGACGCUUUGAAAGGCAAAUCGAUUCAAUUUCGAAAAAUUCACACAUUUUUAUUUCCCCUCGAGAAUCUAUUAAUUUUAUCACAGAUAAUAGUUUUUAUCAAAAAGAAAAAAUUCGUGGAUUAAUUGUCAGACUAUUCCAACGCGAUUAACACACCUAUCAAGAAUACUCAUUUCAUGGCUAUUACGAAACAGCAUGCGAAAUUUUGAUCGCCUUUUAAUUCUCUCAAUUUUCUACUGUUUUCAAUAUAACCGUAACACAAUUCGAGUCGAGGAUUUCAAAUUUAAACUUAUUAUUUCCGAGAAAGAUAAGUUUAAGAAGAUAAUUAACAAACACAUAUGGAAAAAAAUCUUCAUCAGUAUAAAACCACGAUUGUCAUAGUUUCGUGACUUAUUUUUCCGUUUCCUUGAAACUUGCAAAGGUGAAUUUCACUUUAAUAAAGCGCGCAAAUUUUCUAUUACAGUCGAGACAUAAAACGUCCAUUAAACAAGAAGGAGAGAUAGCCAUCGACGAGGCUUAUUCAUUUGAAACGCCUUUGAUCGUUAUCAAAAACCUUGGUGUCUCCCUUAUCCCUCCUCUCGUUCGAACAAUCGUUUCCAAAAAUCGAGGAGGAGAAAUAGUAAGGAGGUUACGAUGAAACGGCACCGACCGGUAGUAACGAUCAAUCGGAUCCUCUGCCAUCCUCUGCCGCGAGUUAACUAGGGCUAAAUAAGGUAGCCGGCUCGGUAAAUAAUUGUAUCUCGUAAAGCGACUAGGUAACCGAGGAUUUAUAUGGGCGUAGCCGACGGGGCCGACACUUGCUACUUCGAUACACGACGGCGCGCACGCUCUCUUUCCCUCUCGUUUCUCUUCUCCUUUGCCAACUACCGCCUCCUCCUCCUCCUCCUCGUGUCCUUUUCCUUUCCUUCGAGCGCCUAGCACCGCACACGUGGAGGUGGUUUGCUCGAAAGGGGAUGGUGGUGCGCUCUACUCCUCGACCUUGCAUCAAACAGUUCAAUUUCGAUCGUGCAAAUUAACGGGGGUAAUUAUAUAUUCGCCGUGAUUUUAUCGGUGGUAGGGUCGAGAUUUCAUUUUUACCGUUGUUCGUUUUUUUCAUGCGUGAUAUUUUUUUCACUUCUUUAAUCGUUCUAUAUCGUUGGAUGGAUUUAAUUUUUUUUUUUUUUUUUUACUUUAUCUCCUCGUGGAAAGUAUGGUAGAUAUGUAAAUGUUAUGAAUAUUAUUGGGUGAAAACUCGAGCGGAUUCCUCCCACGUGGAAAUUUUAACUUGCUCUCUGUCGAAUUCGUGGCGAAAUACUAUCGUUUGAUACUGUAUUUCGUCGAUCGGAAAGAAAGGAGAGUUUUCAAGUUGUGGAGAUUUCAUCUUAUCUAAGUUUUGAAUAAAAAAGAUUAGUUAAUUCGAAAAUUGUACGAGGAUUAAAGAUUCGAGUGUCGCUUUCGAAACGAGUUGAAACAAGAAUCGAAUAAUCGUUUAUUGAUAAAUUGUAACACAUCUGGGUUCUAGAACAAUCGAUGAUAAAAAUUUGACUUACGAAAGUAAGCUUGUUUCGAUUCGAAUAGGAUACUUGAUUGUUCAAUAUUUAUUUAUUUCAUGAAAAGAAAAAAAAGAAAAAAGAAAAAAUCAGGAUUUCUUCGAGAUGUUGGAAAUUAUCCACUCUGCGAAAAUCCACUGUCAAUCUCUCUAACAUUUUUUUGUACGUAACAAGUGAUUCGUAAAAUUUUCCAAACAAUCAAUCGGGUUCUCGUAAAUUUUAUAUAUCCACUUGCAAUAGAAUUUCCAAUAGAAUGUUCAGACAAAUAGUUUAUUUUCCUUACUAUCGCGGAAUUCCUCUCCAAUGUGUUUUUAAUGGAAUUAAAAAGUUUCCACGGGCGCGGAUCGUUGCACCGUUUAACUCUCACGGGCGGAUGAUUGGCAGAGAAAUAGUUCACGCGGGAAAAAGAAAAGUCUCCCCCGCCUCCUUCCUCCCCUCGAUCGUUGAUCAACGAUCUGGGAAAUUAAUUAUCGUGCACGAAGGAGCCUCCCGGAGAUUAUUAGUCACGGCUUGUCCGGCGAGUUCACGCCGCCUCGAAGGUCCUUUGCUCUCUUUCCCUCUUUCCCUCCCGCUCUCUUGAUUCGAUGAGCUCACGCUCGUGGAUCCGCUAAUCUUAUCUGCCGCCAAGAUAACCGUUCGCCAAGAUAAAACCGAUAAAAUCGUAGCUUUUGGCGAUCGUGUCUCCGCUCUUUAACGACGCGGUGAAAACGUGAAAACGUUUUCUUCUGGGGGAGGGCACUUCCACGAGCGGUUAAUUUAUUCAAUGGAAACCCUUUUCCGAGUAGAUGAGCCGGGCGGAAGUCACGCGUGGCACGGGGCACGUGCACGCGUGACCAUCCUCUUUUCUAGCUUCUUCUACGACUCUCGAUCGAGACUUUCUUGGCUUGCUUUUUAACCAGCGUGUCCAUGAAUCUAUCUAUCGCGAAAUUUUCACGGUAGAGGGAUAUAAAGUUAUUUUUUUUUAAGUAUCUUUGAGAAAAGUUUCACUAUAGCAAGUGAUAAAGCAAUGGCGAGAAAAUUCGUAAUAAAAAUUUAUGUGCGUAAAUUGCGUAACGAGUGUAAUAUUCAGUUUGAAAAAUUAUAAAAAAAGUGAUACGGAAUAAAUUUUUCCUUGAUUUCUUUACGAGUCGGUUAAGUCCUCGUUAAAGAACAAUGGAAUUUAGGAAACAAUUUUUUUCCGUAUCGUUAGUAGUUGCCAAAAUAUUCGGAAAAAUAUGUUGUCAAUUUUGAGAGCUGAUUUCAAAGUGGAUGUCAGCCGAUAAAAAAAAAAUACGUGUCAAAUAUUCUUUUUUUAACUACCUCUCCUAUAAAUUUCAUCAAAAUCCCACUUUGAUGAAUGUUUCUUUGUUAGAAAUAUUUUUUUUUAAAAUUGUUGCGUUUGUACUAUUCUAUCGGUAGAAUUUUUUUUGCCCAUCAUCCCUAAUUUUUUCAAUCCAAAAGCUGUCAAAACUCUGUUAAAAUACACACUUCGCGCCCAAUUUAAAAUUAGGUACCUUACUAGGCGCGAUAUUUUAUUUCCGAUACGUAACUUCCUAUCGACGGGCAUAGACACGCUCGUAAUAUUUUGUCCCAAAAUGAAUAAAUCCGAUAAAUGCAUCCAGCUCAUUUCCCCCCCUACGCGGGAAUAUCCGCGUUAAAUUUUCGCAAAAUAUUUUUUACAUCCAAUUAAUCCAAGUGUCGCUUCAACGUUAUAAAUUAAUCGAGGAAAAAUUUGAACGAAGCACGGAUUAAUUGAACGGGGCGAAAAAUCUCUUCCUCGCGGUGCGAAAAGGGGCCGAUUGUAAUUAUCUCCCAACACCCUCUUACGAAACUCGCCACUAUCUCGAUAGUCGAGUGAUCGGGAUUCCAGCGAAAAUUCCGCUCGAGGGAUCGGUUUAUUCGCGUGCAUCGGUUAACGGAACAUCGUGCCAGCCGGGGAGCUGCUCCUCUGGAAACUGGUUAAAUUCUAAUACGCCCCGUUCCCGGGGCCGGCUCUAGGGGGAGGGGGUAGAAGGCGACGGGGGCCCACGUUUAGCUGGCGCGAAAGGGAGGGGGCGACGGGCGGGUGAAGAGGUGGUUCCGCGGCGGCCGUAUAGAAGAGAGCAGCAGGCCCCUAAUUUGGGACUUUAUCGUCUUGUUAUCCUUGCACCUUACGAUGCUGACGACCGAGAUGCUCCUCCGAGGUGUCCCGGUGUCACUGUUCUCCGCCGCCACCUUUUCGUCGAUGGUCGUGCCUCGUCGUGUCUCCCUCCCCCCUUCCUCUGCCCGAACGUAUCGAUAUAUGGCGAGUACGAGUCGGGGGCCGCCGCGCGAUGCGCGUUCACACACGACACGAAUGGAGGACGGGGAAGGGAAAGAAAUCGUGGAAAACGGGGGAGGAGAGGAAUGAGAAGAGGAGAGAGGACGAGGGAAAAGGAAGGAGAGGGAGAGAAGGAAGGAAGGAAGGAAGGAAGGAGCGGAGAGACGAGGACGUAUAUAUAUAUAUAUGUAGCGUAGGAUGGUAGUAGGAGUGGGUGCCCGUGUGUCUCCUUGCCUUCGCCUCUUCCUCCUCCUCCUCUCCGUGGACACUCGGACCCAGUGGGGCCCCUUCCCCCUCCUCCGCUCCUUCUCAGGCAGCCCGAGGCCAAGAACAGGCAGGGCCGUAGGCCCCAACCUCGGCACCGUCGGCUACUCGUACGCUUUUGCGGCGUUGCCGAGUCCUCCUCUCCUUCGAUCACUCUCGAGAGCGUGCGCUCCUCUUCUCGCACUCUCGUUUCGACGAGAGAGAGAGAGAGGGAGGGAGGGAGAGGAGGAGAGGGGGCCCCGGUUUCGCAUAAAUUACCGCUCUGCGUGCCCGGUACCAGAGAGAGAGCCUUUUCGACGUGUCACGUAUUAUAUACACACAUGCACGGCCCGUUUCGAGCGCGGGAGAAUUGAUUUUAAAGAAGCCGGGCAGAGGGAGGAAAUUGGAGUGUGUGUGUAAGGAAGAGAGAGAGAGAAGGAUCGUUCGCACACACGAUUACAGUGGCUAUUACAGCGGUUCUGGCUUCUCUCCGCCCGCGGUGGUUGCGUUUCGACGCGCCACCCUUCUCUCUCUCUCUCUCUGCUCGCUUUUCUUCUCCUCCUAGUUUCCUCCUAGUUUAGGGAGGGGAAUUUAUGGAGGGCCAGCAGGUGUAUUUGCGUUGCUCGUUAAUGGAGAACCGACCACCCCUCCCCCUCGAAUUCUCAGUCUCCUCGAAGCACUUCCACUUCCGAAUCCUUUUAAAACCGUGUUUCGUUACGUUAUAACAUAAGAUAGGGGGACACGUCGCGUUCUGACUGAUCCCUUUCCUCCCGCCGAGACUUCGCACCACGUAUCCAAGCGGCGACCCAACCUUGCCGCGCCCCGUUUUCUUAUUUGAAUUUCUCGCCUUAUGGUCACCUUACGAGGUUAUGGGGGGCCGGCUCGUAAAUUCGUGUGGAACGCGCACGCGUUCGAGAAUUGGAUUCUGCUUGACGGAGCAGCGGAUGUUGGCAGGAUCGCGCGCUCCUUCCCGGAUGGAAGGUCGUCGGACCGAAAAUAUCGCGCCGCGACCGACUCCUCCUCGUUGAAUUCCUUGGCUUAUUUUUUUUCUUUUUCUUUCUUUCUUUCUUUUCUGGAAAUUACCGUCGACUAAAAUCGUUGGACUAAACAGAAGACGGUCGUCGUACCACCACUUCCCUCGUCCUCUUAUUUUUCUUCUCCCUGCCGUUGUUCUCUUUUUCUUCCUCUUCUUCUUCUUCUUCUUCUUCUUCUUCCCUUUGCUCCGCCACGGUACGCCCACGGAGAAGGUCGCUCGAUUCGGUUUGGCGACAAACAGGCCGAUCGAAAACCCCUCGUGGAAACAAAUCUUCGCUCGCCUCGAUCGUUUCUCCGUCGGAACUCCCCUCGCUUCCCCUCCCCUCCUCUGUCAAAACUGCACGUUCGGAUUUUCGUUGGGUACGACUACCCGCCGCGAUAGCUCGUGAAGAAAGCGCUUAUUGUGGCACGAAUCGCAGUGGACCCCUCCCCCCACACCGCGUGGAGCGGACGGGCGAGCGAGCGAGCGAGCGAGCGUUUUGAAGGAAGAUUUUCAGGAUUGUCGGGCGUCGGUUUCAAUGGGUGACGGAUCUCGAACAAUGGGGUCGCGAGUGUCGGUUAAUCGGCGUAUCGACACUCGAAACCUUUUCUAUUUCGAUCGACCCUGUUCCCUUCCACGCUUCCCCCUCGCUUCUUAUUCUUAUACACGGGAGAGGAAUCGAAUUACCGAAUUCGGCUCUCGUGAAUUCCGCUCGAACGAAGGAAAUUGCGAUUCUCGAGGAGAGGCUUUAAGAUCUUUAUAUCUUAACAAGAAUAAGCGUGUAUCUCGAGUGAAAGAAGAUAUUCGAUCAUCGUUGUUCAUUUCUUCGAAAAUAAUGAAUCUCGCGUUGCAGAAAUGAUAAUUGUCCCCUAGGAGGGGAUCGAUCGCGAUUAAAAACUCAACUAUUAAUAACCGACAAACUUGCCUCUUUUUUCAACCGUUAUCAUAGACACGCUCCCUCGCUUUCUUCUCAAGAAACGUUCCCCCGGUUAUCUCGGCUUUAUCUCGCCCCAUUACCAUCGUAAAACCCUCCACCGUAGACGCUAGAGGGAGCACGCUUUCUCGUGUUAUUACCGCGCUCCUCUCGUAUUCUCCUUCUAUCUUGAUCUGCUCGCCGGUGUACGCGAGAGAAAUCGUAAACUCGUCGAAACGAGAGUAGUAAAGCCUACUUCACACGCGACGAUCCAAUCGUCUUAUACCUGCAUGAUGGAUGUCGAUUGAAUUAGGUGGAAUCGUUUAGCUCGAUCCAAGAUGGAAGGUGUAAAGGCUACUUAAUUAGGAAAGUGGUAUAUACAUUUCACAUACGUACGUUUUUUACACUUUCACAAUUUUUCUAGAAUCCUCCAAGGCUCUAGUUCUAAUAUUUUCCGUAUAUACCCCGUUGCUGCGGGUGCUUGGGAUGCUGUGUGAAAGAUGCUUAAAAAAACAUACCUUGGAUCACAUUCGAUUUUUAUGGAUGAAUAUCUCAUUGGAGGAUAUGUAAGCAUGUAUUUCUUUCUUUUAACGAACCUUUCUCUAGAAACACCACGUUUUCAGACAACAUUCGUUGAACUAUAAAUAAAGAUUACUUUAAAAUCGUGAUUUCUCCUCCUCGUACCUCCGAAUAAAUAUAUCCGCAUUCGUUUCAAAUCAAUUAUAAAAAAAAAAAUGUAUUGUAUCCAAAAAAGAAAAAAAAAUCAUAAAAUUAAAAAUUAUCACUUUGUAUAUAUACCUUCGUAUAUAUACCUGUACAUGCACAAAUCCUCCUACUAAACGCUCUUUAAUAUCACGGAACAACGUAUCUACAUAACAUACGAUACAUAAAUUUCUACGUAAAAGAAAAAAAAAACUGUCACCAGACUCCUCCUCCACCCCCUCCCUUCCCAAUUUCCCGCGCCUGGGGAAGAAGAAUCGGUCGUCUCCCUUUCCCCGAGUCCCAUCGACCGGGUCUACGCGAAACGACGGUGGAAAAAAAAAGAGAAAAGAGGAAAGGAAAAAAAAACAAAAUCGUAUGCAGAAUAGGAGGCUCUCGGCCGGCGAGAAUUCGGCAAUCGUAAAUGGUGUUUCGAAGGAGCGCGCGGGCAAAGCAGCCUUGGCCGAAGGCGCUGGCACGGCACCCAUUGUCCGCGCCGUCUCUUGUUACGAGACGAGACGAGCCGGUCAGAGGGACAGAGAGGUGUCCGUGUGUUGGACAGAGAGGGAGAAAGAAACGGCAGGAGAAAGAAGGGGGAGGAGAGAGAGAGAGAGAGAGAGAGGGAGGGAGGCAGGCAGACGGCGGUCAAACAGGCAGACCCAGGCUCCUUCCUCCUCGUUCUUUUCCUUCUGCUUCUCUCCGUUCGUCCCGCGGUGUGCUCGUCUUCUCUUUCUUUUGUUGCUUUCCUUUGCACACGGGUCUUGCCAUGCCGGGGACCGUGCCGAGUCAAAACCACCUAUGCGAGCCUGGCAAGGCCCCCGGCAGUAGGUCUGUUGCCUCGAGGCCUCUGGCCUCUUCUCUUCUCUUCAACGAGACGUUAUUUUCGUCUCUCUUGUUCCUCUUCUCUCUCUUUCUCUCUCUCUCUCUCUCGUACUCUGCAAAGUCUUCUUUUCCUUCAAAGUGUAGCCUCUUCUUCGCUUGGUAGAUUGCAACAAGGCCCUCCUCCUCCUUCUUCCCUUCUUCUUCUUCUUCUUCUUCUUCUUCUUCUUCUUCUUCUGCCUGGGCCCACAUUGACCUCCGGUCAAGCCAGGCCGCCGAGUUUUCGUACGCGGCUCCCUCUCGCAGGAACCGAUGACAGGACGGUUUGAAAAUUUUCGUUCGUUGGUGGAAAUCGUUGUUGGCGGUAUUUGUUUCAGGUAUCUCUGCCCGAGGUAGCUCGUUUCGUUUGGAAAGAAUAAUUUGCUCGAUUUCUAAUUUCUAAUGGCUCGUGUAAAAUAUAGGUUAAUUUAAUCACGAAUCAAUAAUCACACAAUAAUUAUCCGUCAAAAAUUGAAAAAGAAAAGAAAGAGAGAGAAAAAAGAAAAUUCACAAAAAUUGGACGAAGCUAUCCUUUAUCCGUUUUAUCCGUCGUGGAUUAUUAUCGACCCACUCGAUGUAAAAAAUUUUGAUAUUUCCUAGAUUCUAGUUAUCUUCUCGAGACUUAUCAAAGUCGGCCCACGUAAAAUGAAGAACAUUCACAAAAAUUCGAUAAUCCACGUUUCUCUCGAUCCCGCGGUUAUCUUCCGCGGACUAUCAAACCGGCCCACGUGAAAACGCAUCGAGGCCGAAAAAAGAAAAGAAAAAAAAAGAGAAAAAGAAAAAAGAAAUUCCGAUCUAAACAAAAUAAUCGGCGUAGAGCAGGUUUCCGAUCGGCUCGAUCGUUUCCUCGGUGGCCUCGCGCUCGCUCUCGGAUUCUAACCAGCCUGGCACGUCGCAGGCCCCGUAUACGUGACAGUGGGUCUUGCCUCGAGGCCUGUCAGGAAUCUCCGGGUCCCAUUACGAGGGUGCGCCUACUUGCUUGAUCUUUUACACGGCGAAAACCCGUUUCGUUGUCUCUCGGAUGAUCCAACGUAUCUUGGCGCACGUGCGCUUUUCCGAGAGAAAGAGAGAGGAAGAGGGAAAAUCGCCGACUCUCAUCCCGAGACGCCAUCGCGACCGGGAAGAACUAGUUUCUCUCUAUCGCCCGCCUUUAUAUUAUGCAAAUAUACGCGGUGCACGAUAAUGAGAUUCCGUCCUCGCCUCGGUGAUAAAUAAUCAGCUUUCUCUAAUGAAAAUCACGGCCUAUCCCCGCGGAAAUUCUACAACGGUCACGAGCUGUUCCUCGAUAUUCGUAAUCAUCGGUUGCCAUCUGCUCAUCCUUGGCUCUGGCUAUCUUUCCUAGAGAGAGAGAGAGAGAGAGAGAGAGAGAGGAAGAGGGAGAAAGGGAGAAGUGUCGUCGAAAUGUUGUUGUCGGGGGGUAAAAAUUCAUGAUUCGGGAAAGAACAACGGUGGCCGUGAUACACUUGUUGCGCAGAAGUGGAAUGUUUCGAGACGAAAUUUGCCUCGGUGCCUGUUUCAACCACUCCACUCCCCUUUCCUUUCAGUCUUUUCGCCUCUUAAAGGUCUAAUUCUUUGUACACAGACCUCCCGCGUCGAGGGUCACCACCAGGUUACACCAACCAGGCCGCCACGCAUUUGCCAUUUCGGCAUUUUACCCGAAACCUUGGUCCUUUCCAGACUCAGCUAGAAACCUGACUCUUAAAUUUCUCGGAGCCAUCCACGGAGCCAUCUUCCACUCCUGAUCCUCCAGAUAUCCUGGCAAAAAUUCUUAUAUAUAUAUAUAUAUAAGAAACUCUUGGUCUGUUGCGUGAUACGCGAUUGUGUACGCCACGUGAGAGAUUGUGCUUCUGGAACUUUCACUGGAACUUUUACCGUUUUUUUUUUCUUUUCGUCUUUUUUGGAUUUGCCAAACGUUCUAUAUGCAGCUUGAAUAAUUAUUUGGUUACGUGAAAUUCGUGACUCGAAGAAUUUCGUGUAAAUUUUUUUUUUUUUCGAUCGUGUAUGUGUUGUUGUUGUUGGUAUUGUUGGAAAGUUGUCAGGAUUAUUCCAGAUUCUGAAAUUUCGAGCACGGUGCCGUGUUAUUCGAGGCAUGAUUAAAAUUGGUCGUCAUAAAUCACUGACAAGAGUUGGCAAGAAAUAUUAAUCUUUUGGUAAAAUAAAAAAAACUUUGGUAAAAAAUUGUGAAAUCUAAAAAUAAUUAUCUAUAAAAUUUGACUUUUGGUUCAUUUCUAAGAUUUCCAUUAAUAUAACGUUUCUUUGCUUAGAAUUAAUUUGCUCAGAAAUUUGAAUUAUUUGUGAUAAGAUAGACCGAAUAAAUGCAACGACAUAAACAAAAUACCAAAAAAAGAAAAAAAGAUUUGUCCCUUAAAAUAGACCCAAUCUCUCGAGAUGAAAAAAGAAAAAAAAGAAACUAUCCAAAAUUCAUAUACGAACGAAACUUUGGCCCUCGACUAAAGGGCACUACUUGUGCAUAAACAUUCAGCAUGCGUUUCUCUCUCGUAAACAGAGACGACUCGUUUACCCGUGACUAAAAAGCGAUGUCAUAGGUUUUCAGCGUACAAUCCUCGAAGAAAAUUGGUGGAUGCAAACAGGCAGCAUCUGCGGCCAGGACCCAAGCACUUGUUGCACAAAGGGUGUCGGUGGACGAAAAUUCUUGCCCCUAACCCGCCCCCCUCUCCCUCCCUUCCCUCUCUUUUUCCCUCGUUCGAUUUCCACGACGGGGCCCCCCGUGUCGAGGGGUCACAGACGUCGACGUGGACGAGAGGCACAAGUACGGAUUUCUAUUGACACAGGCCAAUAGGGCCUGGCCUCCGGUCUCCGCAGGAAUCCUGUACGGUCCUUUUUGGCGUCGUUUAGAGGCUGGAGAAAGGGGGUGCUGUAAUCCCUGGAUCUCUUUUUUUCGUCUUCUCUCUCUUUCUCUCUCGUGUGUAUCGUUUCCUGAAAGACGGAAGCACUUGAUAAAUCUUGGAGAAUUCCGUCCAAUGGAAAUCGUAUUCUUGGCACGCAUUCGCUCGUGGAAUUAAUUUCUCCCCGAGGAAAGUUUCCUCCUUUUCGUUCCUUCCAUUCCCUGGGAAUACGAGGAUUGCAUUGUCCACCUUGUUUGUUUGCUUCAUAAACGCGGUUGGAUAUUUUUCUUGGUAAACCUUUUAUUAAUUCGGGCGAAAGUUUCUUCUUCGAAUCUCUUCUCGAAUCCCCAUCGAUUCUUGUUAGAGGGAAUUUUGAAUUCAAAUCAAGGAAAUUUCAAGUUACGUUUAUUUUUUACAGAUUUAGAGAAUUCCUCACGAAUGCUGGAAAAAAUUUUCGAAUGGAACAGAUAUCUGGCAAAUAAUUCUGAAGCUUUCUAUUUAUACAAAGGGAAGAAAAUAAGACUACAUACGUUAGAACCAUAUCUAACAAUUAAAUCGUAAAACUUGUGAAAUUGAAUUAUUGAUCAUUUUGCGUCUCCACGAAUAAAAUAUUUUCAAAAAGAAAAAAAAAACGACUCGUAUAUAUUUCUUUCUUCUUCCUUCGCUGUGGAAUUCUCGGUAUUGCGGGGGUCUAAAAAAAAAAAUAUAUAUAUAUAUAUGUGGGCGCAACCUCGUCUCCCUUGCUCGUGAAUUUGAGAACGGUCCAUGGUGGCGCACAGUGUCGGCAGGUCGGUAGGUAGGCAUAUACCGUUGAUGGACCAGAGCUAAUCUAAAAAUCGCCGGAACUUCACAAUUAUAGUAAUUUACCAGCCGACAACAAGCUGUACACACAAGCUUGUGCCCUAUAAUGGCAUUAACGGCACGCUCUUUCGCUCCCGUGUCCUUUUUAACCAUGGAAUCCGGCCCGAUUCGGUGCCCAAAACUCGACCGGACAGUUUACCAUCGAGCUUUUCUAUCCCUUACGUGCCCUCAUCUUCAAUUUUUUUCAAUAGGAAUUCGAUGCAGUAAUUCUCGAAUAAAUAAAAUUUCAAAACAGAGAUAUAAUCGCGCGAUAAGAAACGGCUAAAUAAAUAUUCGACGGAUGUUGUGUUUAAAAGAAGAAAGAUGCAAGAUUUAAGGAUUUAUAGUAUACUAAGAAGAGUGAAAAAUCGAUUUUUGAAUAUUUGAGCGAGUUUAUUUGUACAUUCAAGAUUUAAUAAAAUACUUUUUAUUUAUUAUUGACUGUAAUUAUUGUAAAAGAAGUUUGGAAGAGAUAUUUAAACGAGGAAGAUUUGCAUUAAAUAUUUCUAAAUCGAUUUAACAUUGAAACUUGGACCCCCUUUUUUACGAGACACCCCCUUUUUUCGUCUCCCUCUUUACCCUGCGAGUCAUCGUUGGAUACAAACGAGGUCUAUAUCAUCCACCCACCGCGCCUCGUUACCGAACACCGGUCGGUGAUGAUCAUUGCAGCCCCUCUCGGCACGAAAUUGCAGAGGUAUAUAGGGAAAAAAAAAAAAAGAAAAAAAGAAA
This is a long non-coding RNA of Apis cerana (Asiatic honeybee), 20351 nucleotides long. RefSeq lists it as uncharacterized. The record is from RefSeq and is a predicted model, not a curated record. Lineage: Eukaryota; Metazoa; Arthropoda; Insecta; Hymenoptera; Apidae.